CGCUAUUCCAGGAACCACCACAGCCACUUUCGGUCGCCGCUGCCGCUUGGGGUGGCUGUCGGGGUUGCCACCAGAUCAGUUCAGAGAUCACCACUGCUCUGUUUUCUUUUAUAGUAAGUAUUUAUGUUCUAAUAACCCCUGCGUUAGUGUCCUGUUACGUGUAUUAAAGUCUUUGCAAUAUUAAUGUGUUAUGAAUUAGUAACCAAGCUUACAUGUGGCAUUUGGGGCUGUUUCUGUUAUUGAGAGAGCAAACGGAGUAGAGGUUUUGGUUGUCGUCGAUUCGGGUUGAGGCGAAAAGAAUUCUGUGAGGCAUUUGGGUUGUGAUUUCAACAUGUCAAGGUAGGGACUUUUUUAUACAAACUAAUUUAGUUUAAAUUGGAAUUGUUAUAAAUAGAUAUGACUUGCUAAAUGUAUUUCUGGUGAUUAUGUAAGUCUUAUUCAUUAUCUGAUUUGUCUUGGAUGAAUAUGGUUUUCUGUUAAAUUGAAAUAAUGUCUGAUUUUGUUAAA
Molecule: long non-coding RNA, 507 nt
Organism: Arachis duranensis
Lineage: Eukaryota; Viridiplantae; Streptophyta; Magnoliopsida; Fabales; Fabaceae
Exons: 2
Source: RefSeq, a predicted model, not a curated record